UAGGGAAUCUUCGGCAAUGGACGAAAGUCUGACCGAGCAACGCCGCGUGAGUGAAGAAGGUUUCGGAUCGUAAAACUCUGUUGUUAGAGAAGAACAAGGACGUUAGUAACUGAACGUCCCCUGACGGUAUCUAACCAGAAAGCCACGGCUAACUACGUGCCAGCAGCCGCGGUAAUACGUAGGUGGCAAGCGUUGUCCGGAUUUAUUGGGCGUAAAGCGAGCGCAGGCGGUUUCUUAAGUCUGAUGUGAAAGCCCCCGGCUCAACCGGGGAGGGUCAUUGGAAACUGGGAGACUUGAGUGCAGAAGAGGAGAGUGGAAUUCCAUGUGUAGCGGUGAAAUGCGUAGAUAUAUGGAGGAACACCAGUGGCGAAGGCGGCUCUCUGGUCUGUAACUGACGCUGAGGCUCGAAAGCGUGGGGAGCAAACAGG
RNAcentral lists this ribosomal RNA (428 nucleotides) under bacterium. RNAcentral's name for it is "partial 16S ribosomal RNA". It matches the Rfam family "Bacterial small subunit ribosomal RNA", at positions 355 to 776 of the family's 1533-position model. The record is from RNAcentral. RNAcentral also lists the same sequence under 1 other name.